Molecule: ribosomal RNA, 465 nt
Filed under: uncultured bacterium
Lineage: Bacteria
Description: partial 16S ribosomal RNA
Rfam family: Bacterial small subunit ribosomal RNA
Source: RNAcentral
CCUACGAGUGGCAGCAGUAGGGAAUAUUGCUCAAUGGGGGAAACCCUGAAGCAGCAACGCCGCGUGGAGGAUGAAGGUCUUCGGAUCGUAAACCUCUGUCAGCAGGGAAGAACGGUCACUGUGCUAAUCAGCAGUGAAUUGACGGUACCUGCAAAGGAAGCACCGGCUAACUCCGUGCCAGCAGCCGCGGUAAUACGGAGGGUGCGAGCGUUAAUCGGAAUUACUGGGCGUAAAGCGCUCGUAGGCGGUAUGUCAAGUCAAGGGUGAAAUCCCCGCGCUCAACGUGGGAACUGCCUUUGAAACUGGCAAACUGGAGUGUGUGAGAGGAUAGUGGAAUUCCAGGUGUAGGAGUGAAAUCCGUAGAUAUCUGGAGGAACAUCAGUGGCGAAGGCGACUAUCUGGCACAUAACUGACGCUGAGGAGCGAAAGCGUGGGUAGCAAACAGGAUUAGAUACCCUUGUAGUC